This 392-nucleotide unclassified non-coding RNA is filed under the name soil metagenome. RNAcentral describes it as "partial contains 5.8S ribosomal RNA, internal transcribed spacer 2, and large subunit ribosomal RNA". The stretch from base 1 to 122 matches the Rfam family "5.8S ribosomal RNA", at positions 35 to 154 of the family's 154-position model. The record is from RNAcentral.
GAUGAAGAACGUAGCGAAAUGCGAUACUUGGUGUGAAUUGCAGAAUCCCGUGAACCAUCGAGUCUUUGAACGCAAGUUGUGCCCGAAGCCACUAGGCCGAGGGCACGCCUGCCUGGGUGUCACACGUCGUUGCCCCCCCCCCAUCUACUCCUUCGGGAUUGCGGGGGGCGGAUGAUGGCCUCCCGUGCGCCUAGCCGCGCGGUUGGCAUAAAUACCAAGUCCUCGGCGACGCACGCCACGACAAUCGGUGGUUGCGAAACCUCGGUUGCCCGUCGUGUGCGUUCGUCGCGCAUCGAGGGCUCGAAAAAAUGCUCGGCUCCGGCUCGGCUUUCAACGCGACCCCAGGUCAGGCGGGGUUACCCGCUGAAUUUAAGCAUAUCAUAAGCGGAGGA